Molecule: ribosomal RNA, 390 nt
Filed under: Rickettsia massiliae
Lineage: Bacteria; Pseudomonadati; Pseudomonadota; Alphaproteobacteria; Rickettsiales; Rickettsiaceae
Description: bacterial SSU rRNA
Rfam family: Bacterial small subunit ribosomal RNA
Source: RNAcentral
AACGCUAUCGGUAUGCUUAACACAUGCAAGUCGAACGGACUAAUUGGGGCUUGCUCCAAUUAGUUAGUGGCAGACGGGUGAGUAACACGUGGGAAUCUACCCAUCAGUACGGAAUAACUUUUAGAAAUAAAAGCUAAUACCGUAUAUUCUCUACGGAGGAAAGAUUUAUCGCUGAUGGAUGAGCCCGCGUCAGAUUAGGUAGUUGGUGAAGUAAUGGCUCACCAAGCCGACGAUCUGUAGCUGGUCUGAGAGGAUGAUCAGCCACACUGGGACUGAGACACGGCCCAGACUCCUACGGGAGGCAGCAGUGGGGAAUAUUGGACAAUGGGCGAAAGCCUGAUCCAGCAAUACCGAGUGAGUGAUGAAGGCCUUAGGGUUGUAAAGCUCUUU